This 560-nucleotide ribosomal RNA is filed under the name Colletotrichum gloeosporioides. RNAcentral's name for it is "eukaryotic LSU rRNA". The stretch from base 203 to 356 matches the Rfam family "5.8S ribosomal RNA". Lineage: Eukaryota; Fungi; Ascomycota; Sordariomycetes; Glomerellales; Glomerellaceae. The record is from RNAcentral.
UCCGUAGGUGAACCUGCGGAGGGAUCAUUACUGAGUUUACGCUCUACAACCCUUUGUGAACAUACCUAUAACUGUUGCUUCGGCGGGUAGGGUCUCCGUGACCCUCCCGGCCUCCCGCCCCCGGGCGGGUCGGCGCCCGCCGGAGGAUAACCAAACUCUGAUUUAACGACGUUUCUUCUGAGUGGUACAAGCAAAUAAUCAAAACUUUUAACAACGGAUCUCUUGGUUCUGGCAUCGAUGAAGAACGCAGCGAAAUGCGAUAAGUAAUGUGAAUUGCAGAAUUCAGUGAAUCAUCGAAUCUUUGAACGCACAUUGCGCCCGCCAGCAUUCUGGCGGGCAUGCCUGUUCGAGCGUCAUUUCAACCCUCAAGCUCUGCUUGGUGUUGGGGCCCUACAGCUGAUGUAGGCCCUCAAAGGUAGUGGCGGACCCUCCCGGAGCCUCCUUUGCGUAGUAACUUUACGUCUCGCACUGGGAUCCGGAGGGACUCUUGCCGUAAAACCCCCAAUUCUCCAAAGGUUGACCUCGGAUCAGGUAGGAAUACCCGCUGAACUUAAGCAUAU